UGCGUAGGCGGACUAAUAAGUCAGUGGUGAAAUCUCCCGGCUCAACCGGGAAACUGCCAUUGAUACUGUUAGUCUUGAGUUCGGUUGAGGUAGGCGGAAUGUGUAAUGUAGCGGUGAAAUGCUUAGAUAUUACACAGAACACCAAUUGCGUAGGCAGCUUACUAGACCGACACUGACGCUGAGGCACGAAAGCGUGGGUAGCGAACAGGAUUAGAUACCCUGGUAGUCC
Molecule: ribosomal RNA, 229 nt
Filed under: uncultured bacterium
Lineage: Bacteria
Description: partial 16S ribosomal RNA
Rfam family: Bacterial small subunit ribosomal RNA
Source: RNAcentral